GGAAGGGCAACCCGAUGGGUGACGGGAACCGGUUGGAAGCCGGGUGAGCCUUGCGGCCUUGAGGGUUCGACUCCCUCUCCUUCCG
RNAcentral lists this transfer RNA (85 nucleotides) under Planctomycetales bacterium. RNAcentral describes it as "tRNA-Ser". It matches the Rfam family "tRNA". From Rfam's summary of the family: Transfer RNA (tRNA) molecules are approximately 80 nucleotides in length. Their secondary structure includes four short double-helical elements and three loops (D, anti-codon, and T loops). Further hydrogen bonds mediate the characteristic L-shaped molecular structure. tRNAs have two regions of fundamental functional importance: the anti-codon, which is responsible for specific mRNA codon recognition, and the 3' end, to which the tRNAs corresponding amino acid is attached (by aminoacyl-tRNA synthetases). tRNAs cope with the degeneracy of the genetic code in two manners: having more than one tRNA (with a specific anti-codon) for a particular amino acid; and 'wobble' base-pairing, i.e. permitting non-standard base-pairing at the 3rd anti-codon position. The record is from RNAcentral. Lineage: Bacteria; Pseudomonadati; Planctomycetota; Planctomycetia; Planctomycetales.